This 378-nucleotide ribosomal RNA is filed under the name Triticum aestivum (bread wheat). RNAcentral's name for it is "partial small subunit ribosomal RNA". Lineage: Eukaryota; Viridiplantae; Streptophyta; Magnoliopsida; Poales; Poaceae. The record is from RNAcentral.
AUGUUAGGUGGUUCUGUUCUACUGCAUUUAGCUGCAGAAAUGGAUGCUUUGAGUGCGCGUGGUUUGAUCCUUGGUAGGGGAUUCAGUGUGGGCUACGAAUGCAUUCUUCUGAAUUUUAGGAUGGGAUGCAAAUCUUACUCUUCUGUCUGCGGCAGCCGUGCUUGUUUAGGUUGUAUUGUGUUGAACUCUAGAAUGGGAUGCAAAUGUAUGGAACUUUGUACACAGAGUGUGAUUGCUGGUCUUUGUUGCUUGCUAGACAAACUUCCAGCCAAGACUGUCCAUGUUACUUGUAUAAAACAAGUAAAUGACAUAACUGCACCUGCACGUAGCAUUUGUAGGGGUACUCAGCAAGAACAGAGCAAUGUUUCCUUUAUUUGA